Molecule: long non-coding RNA, 649 nt
Filed under: Vigna radiata
Lineage: Eukaryota; Viridiplantae; Streptophyta; Magnoliopsida; Fabales; Fabaceae
Description: long non-coding RNA (VRAD_LNC002342)
Source: RNAcentral
GGGGGUUAUCACAACACUCUAAUGGUCUUUCAUUCUCACUUAGAGAGGAUUGACGCAUGUGGUGAGAGUAGUAGGAGUUCCUAGUGAUAGGUGCUACGUGGAGGCCUAUUUGCGUGGUAACGGACUUACACUUGUGUGUGGUAGGGUGAAACCUGUUGGCAAUGGCUUUGCAAAGCAGUAGAGGCCACCAUAAGUGCACAACCCGCCCCAGAUUGAUAUUCAUUCUAAGUCCGGACGAGUCUAGAGAGUCAUAACAUGAUAAGAUGUUUUACUUUAUUACUUGUAUGGAUAUGGCUUAUAUGUUGUGUUAUAUGAUAACUUGUAUGCUUUUGAAACCUAGCUUACCCUUACUUUUGUGUGUUGUAUGUGUUGUGCCUUUUCUCUUUGCGAUGAUCAUCCACUUGGAUGUGAGCAAAGGGGGAUGAGGUUUCCCUGGAACAAACAUUGGAGGAGACAGAUGCUGCCCCUAGCUCUUAGGACUCUUCUAGUUAUUUUUCUUGAUUUUGAAAGACUGGUUUAUAAAUAAAGUUUAGAUUCUUAAUUAGUAUUUAGACUUAGACUUAUAAGUCUCAUUUUGAGAUAUUCAUUUCUAUAACUAAAAUUUAAAUUCCAUCCAUAUUUUGGAGACAUCUUAAUACUAUCAUUCCCU